This 1348-nucleotide long non-coding RNA is filed under the name Homo sapiens (human). RNAcentral's name for it is "HSALNT0036137". The record is from RNAcentral. Lineage: Eukaryota; Metazoa; Chordata; Mammalia; Primates; Hominidae.
CUUCAAGGUUACUUCGCGGAGCUGGAACGCUGGCCGCGCAGGCCCUGAGGGCUCGCGGCCCCAGUGGCGCGGCCGCGAUGCGCUCCAUGGCAUCUGGAGGUACUCGGGUCUCCGGGCGUGCCAGGGACCAGAGUGUUGCCCUCCCAGGGUGGUCCCAGGGCGGCAAAGCGGCGCGGCUCGUGCAGCUUCUCGAGGUCCCAGUGGCCGCUUUACGGUCCCCAGUGCCUCAGGCUCUGCAGGCAUCUCCCUGUAAUUCUGGACCGCUGCUCCUGCCGCUCCCCGAACUCACUCCGCUGCGAAAGUAUCCUAAACGGAGGUGCCGGGUGACCUUGGGAGGGACCGGGGCUGCCACCGGGAUGGGGAGGGGUCCGGCCUCCCUUCAAACCUGCGCCCACCUCAAGCAGAGUGGGUUCUACAUGCUUUUAGACAAAUGUCGACAAAUUUGCCUCGGUGGUUGGAGAAAGAAAAGCUCAUAGGCCGGGCGCGGUGGCUCACAACUGUAAUCCCAGCACUUUGGGAGGCCGAGGCGGACAGAUCCCCUGAGGUCAGGAGCUCAAGACCAGCCUGGCCAACAUGGUAAAACCCCGUUUCUACUAAAAAUACAAAAAUUAGCCGGGCGUGGUGGCGCGCGCCUGUAGUCCCAGCUACUCGGGAGGCUGAGGCAGGAGAAUCGCUUAAACCCGGGAGGCGGAGGUUCCCGUGAGCCAACAUCGCGCCAUUGCACUCCAGCCUGGGCAACAAGAGCAAAACUCCGUCUCAAAAAAGAAAAAAAAAGCUCCCCCGAGUGCUGCCGCUUGUGUGGAUGGGUACUUGGUGGUUCUUAGGGGACCAUGGAUAUGAGUAGCCUUUAGGAGCUUGUGAGCCCGCUAAAACUUAUACAGAAGUUUCGGGGCACCAUUUUCCUUGAUCAUUUCUGUUUGUAGUUUUUCUAUCAGUCAUUUCAGUCAGCGUCAUAAUUCACGUUAUCUUCCUUUAGGUGGUGUUCCCACUGAUGAAGAGCAGGCGACUGGGUUGGAGAGGGAGAUCAUGCUGGCUGCAAAGAAGGGACUGGACCCAUACAAUGUACUGGCCCCAAAGGGAGCUUCAGGCACCAGGGAAGACCCUAAUUUAGUCCCCUCCAUCUCCAACAAGAGAAUAGUAGGCUGCAUCUGUGAAGAGGACAAUACCAGCGUCGUCUGGUUUUGGCUGCACAAAGGCGAGGCCCAGCGAUGCCCCCGCUGUGGAGCCCAUUACAAGCUGGUGCCCCAGCAGCUGGCACACUGAGCACCUGCACUAAAUUACUCAAAAUGUGCUGUAAAGUUUCUUCUUUCCAGUAAAGACUAGCCAUUGCAUUGGCUCCUUCUCCCAU